Molecule: ribosomal RNA, 745 nt
Filed under: uncultured bacterium
Lineage: Bacteria
Description: bacterial SSU rRNA
Rfam family: Bacterial small subunit ribosomal RNA
Source: RNAcentral
ACGCUGGCGGCAGGCCUAACACAUGCAAGUCGAGCGGUAGAGAGAAGCUUGCUUCUCUUGAGAGCGGCGGACAGGUGAGUAAUGCCUAGGAAUCUGCCUGGUAGUGGGGGAUAACGUUCGGAAACGGACGCUAAUACCGCAUACGUCCUACGGGAGAAAGCAGGGGACCUUCGGGCCUUGCGCUAUCAGAUGAGCCUAGGUCGGAUUAGCUAGUUGGUGAGGUAAUGGCUCACCAAGGCAACGAUCCGUAACUGGUCUGAGAGGAUGAUCAGUCACACUGGAACUGAGACACGGUCCAGACUCCUACGGGAGGCAGCAGUGGGGAACAUUGGACAAUGGGCGAAAGCCUGAUCCAGCCAUGCCGCGUGUGUGAAGAAGGUCUUCGGAUUGUAAAGCACUUUAAGUUGGGAGGAAGGGCAUUAACCUAAUACGUUAGUGUUUUGACGUUACCGACAGAAUAAGCACCGGCUAACUCUGUGCCAGCAGCCGCGGUAAUACAGAGGGUGCAAGCGUUAAUCGGAAUUACUGGGCGUAAAGCGCGCGUAGGGUGGUUUGUUAAGUUGGAUGUGAAAUCCCCGGGCUCAACCUGGGAACUGCAUUCAAAACUGACUGACUAGAGUAUGGUAGAGGGUGGUGGAAUUUCCUGUGUAGCGGUGAAAUGCGUAGAUAUAGGAAGGAACACCAGUGGCGAAGGCGACCACCUGGACUAAUACUGACACUGAGGUGCGAAAGCGUGGGAGCAAAC